RNAcentral lists this unclassified non-coding RNA (251 nucleotides) under Hevea brasiliensis (rubber tree). Lineage: Eukaryota; Viridiplantae; Streptophyta; Magnoliopsida; Malpighiales; Euphorbiaceae. The record is from RNAcentral.
UAGAGCCAAUUGUGUAAGAAACAUUAUAUAUUUAACAAAAUGAAAUUGACAGCUAAACUCAUACAAUACCAUGAGCAAGCCCAAAUCAGAGACUUAAAUCUCACAUCUCAAAACUCAUGAUUUUCAGUUCAAAUUCGUGCCCGUCGAUAUAACCGAAGGUUCCAAUUUUCAGUAAAUCAAUCUCACCAAAACUUUGUAAAUAACAAAUAAUUGACAGAAUUUUCUAAUAAAAAAAGGACUUCCAGAACGUA